AUCAAUACGUUUUAAGUGAAUAACUACUUAUUCUAAUCGAAUACAAUAUGUAAAAAUAAUUACAUUUUAUUAUUUAAACUUAAACUUUAGCCAAAUGAAACAACAUGUCAUUUGCAACUAAUUUCACAUUUUCGUAAAAACCCUCUUUUUCUCAUAAGUUCGUAAAACUACAGCUAGGGGUGCUAUAAUUAAAAAGAAAACUUUCCAAUUUUCUAAGUUAAUUAGCUCCGGCUCUAUAGCACGGAUCGGGCUGAAAUUUUGGUAGAGGGAGCGGAUUGAGCUAAAAAUUCUUCAUGAAUCUCUCUUAAACAUGCCUAAGAAACUUACUUAUGUUAUAAAGAAUAAGGUAAAUACCAAUUAUUAAAGCAUUCUUAUUGAUUAGGUUUUUUAAAUUUUCAUUUUAAAAAAAUUGAAUGAAUUUCGCUCUAAAUCAUCCAAAAAUUUAAUAUUUGGCUGGCGUACACGCACGAACGCAAAUGCACGAGGGUCAGUGUAUUGUGUUCUUCAAAUGACGUGAUUUGCAUAAAAUAAAUAAUAUUACUUUCUAUAUGCAUUGAUUAUAACAAUUAAUAAUUUGAAUGAAAUUUAUAUUUAUUUAGAAUGAAAAACCAAUCAAAUCUAAUACUAUUUUUUGAAUCAAUAGCAUAAGUAUUUGAAAAAAAGGAAACUACAUUCAGAUCUAUGACUGAUUCCAUCAGUACGGAAAACAUUAAAACGAGUCAGUCUUGAAGAAGCCGCUGAGUUGAAAAGUUGUCACACAAAUUAUUUCCAAUCUAUUUGAAAAUGAAAAAAAAACUAAAAAAUGGUUACAGUGGAUAAGUAAACUUAUAAAGUUGCAAAAAUCAUCAAGUGAUCGACAAAGAAAUUUGAUAAAGUGUUGGAAAUCGUUAGAUUGGUUCAAUCGAUCAUCCUGAUUGCAAGUCAUUGUUGAUUGGAAACGUCCGUGAGCAGAAGCUGGAAAAUUAUCACCAUAUCUGUUUUAUCGAACUACUUUUCUUCAAAAAUUCCAUCUAGGAGAGACCUAAAUAGUAUCAAGGUAAGAAAAUUGAUUUUUUUUGUAAUGCAAUAAGAAUUACAUAAUUUGUGAAAGUUAGCAUUGAUCUUUACAAAGAAAUAUUGGACCUCGCAUAAUUUUUUUAUUAUAAAAAUGUUAAUUAUAUCAACUUAUUUAUGUUGAAUAUGUAUUUUCAAUUAUCGCUUUGGAAAAUAUCAUACUGGAAAAGUUUUUAAUUUCAUUUUUAUUUUUAUUCUUUCUUUUAUCAAUCGUGGUAACCGUUGAACCGUUCACUGGGAAAAGGACAAUCAUUGUCUUUUCCAUGGAAUUGGAAAAGUGAUUCGCAGAUAGCAGCAGAACUCAGAGCAAACAGUAAAGGACGUAAAUCUGCAAAACACAACUUAGAAAAGUGAGCGCUGUAAUAAAAGUAGACGAGGAGCACUACCACUGAUCAAAUUUCAUUAUGUCAUCGUUUAUCUUUACGGGGCAAAAGACAAUCAGUCUUUUGAAGUAUCUUAUUUCUUCUGAAACUGGUAAACACUAUUGGGAGAAAGCAGAAGAGCAUACAUCCAAAAGCUGAGAAGAAGACUUCACGAAACUACUAGAAAGUCGUGCAACACCCCAUAGAAAUUAAUGUAAUACAAUUUUAUUGUGAAUACACAUUAUUUAUGUCAAAUAAAUUUAUUUUUGAAAUCAUAGCAAGAGUCUUUUAAAUAUACCCUGGUACUGUUAUAUCUACCCGAGGAUAUUAUUUGAAUUAAUGUGGACGAAUAUCAAAGCAAACAUAUUUGCCAUUGAAUCUAUGGUAAAGAACAUUUAAAUAUACCAAGGAAAUUUUUAAUUUUACCCAUUGUGUAUUUAAAUUAAUGGUAACUCGUAGUUAAAACAAAUAUUUCUACUAUUGAAACUAUGGUAGUGUUACCCAGAAAUUUUUGAUUCUACCCAUGAAAGUGUUUAAAAUCCACUUUAGAAAUAAAGUGCAAAUGUAUUUGAUUUAAAAGACAUGUUUUCUUUUCAAAUACAGUGCCAUUCAAAAUAAAUACAAAUAUAUUUGUUGUGGCUAUGAUUACUGCCUUUCAGAUCAAAUGUAAAAAUAUUUGAAGUAAAAGUCGUCUGUAUUCAAAUCAAAUAAAACAUUAGAAACAAAUGUAUUCUACCAUUGGGGCCAAAAUACCCAUAAUUUCAUUUGAUUUUACCCAGAAAAACAUUAAUACUACCCAUAAAA
Molecule: long non-coding RNA, 2219 nt
Organism: Phlebotomus papatasi
Lineage: Eukaryota; Metazoa; Arthropoda; Insecta; Diptera; Psychodidae
Exons: 3
Source: RefSeq, a predicted model, not a curated record